RNAcentral lists this long non-coding RNA (2210 nucleotides) under Felis catus (domestic cat). RNAcentral's name for it is "lncRNA (ENSFCAG00000044400.2)". Lineage: Eukaryota; Metazoa; Chordata; Mammalia; Carnivora; Felidae. The record is from RNAcentral.
CUCCAAAAGCAGUAGGACUUUGGCCGUUAAGCAUAUGUGCAUAGAGGAUUAUUGAAAAGACAGAAACAAAGGCUUGGAGGUCAGUGAAGUAUACACAGAAAUGAAAUUAGGGCAGUGGGAAGAAGGGGAUUGAAGCGGUCUGAGCAAGCGUGGGACAUCCACCUUUCCUGUGGGAAGUGUGUACCUUUGGGCCAGAAUCAAAUGUGACGAGUCUGAUUUCUACAUUCAUUUUCCAUCCAGCAGGUUGUUGGGGUUCCUUUCUGUUCCGAAAGCCUCUCCUCCUGAUGUGGAAGAAUUGGUGUUUCAGUACCUGUCUCUGUGGACAGCGCCCUGACCACCAUGCUGUCCCUUCCACCUUCUCCCUCCACAUCACCAACUCUGGCUUCAUCCUCCACAUGAUCCCUUUGUCUGAUGGUGAAUCUGACCAAAGAGUGCGUGCAGCUCUCCCGUUUACAGAGCUUAUGGAUCCCCUAGAGAACCGUCCGGAGUGAGCUGUGCCAGACAUCGCACCUUUCACGUGUCCGGGAUAACUCUGGGAGGCAAGCCCUUUGGCAGGCGAGGGAACUGAAGGUCAGGGAGGUUCCCCGGCUUCCCCACGUCACACAGCACGUUUGUGGUUUGUGUGCAGUAAAACCGUGAUCAGCCUAAUUCCUUAGCUUGUGCUUGGGUCCUUCCAGGGCUGCCCCGCUCCUCUCCUGGAUCCCCAUGAUGUCACACUGUGUUCCCAACGAUGCCACCUGGGUGCCAGAGCACCAGCCCCAGGCCAGAGAGGAAUUGCCACGGGAUGGGCGAGUGGGACAGACGUGGCCGGCCUGCUUCUCUGCUGUCCGUUUCUCUUCCCGAGCACCUGCACCUAUGCAGCACCCCCCACCAGGGGUGCUGGGGGCAACCAGCUGUGUCCCAAGGGGAAAGGUGGCAUCUGGAGGUAGGGAAACUGAGGCCCAGAAGCCCAACUGGGGGUGCUGCGCCGGAGCAGAGGACUGGCCAGCAAAGGGCUCCCUUCCUGUGCAGGCCGGUCAGCCUGGACGCUGCUUCCCCACCGAAGGACCUCUUCAGACACAGAGCCCCCCUUGAAUCGGAGCCCGCGUCAGCCAGGCCUCCUGGGAGGCAUCACCCACCCUCCCCCUGUCGUGUCCCUGAACACACUUCAGUCUGCAUCAUCUCCCGUGGCCAGCCACCUGGUCACACCAGGUCCACGACAGUCAUAUGACAGGACACCACGAUGACCACCAUGCCAGCCCAAGGAAGUCGUCCCUCAGCCCACCCGCCCCCCCCUCCCCCGGAGAGGCCUGUCAGUGGGACCUUGGGACCCUCAGCAGCUCACCUCCCCCCGCUGUAUGGCUGUCCUCUGGGCUCUCCCCCCACCCCGGCGCCUCUCAGCCCCGGGGAGCCCCCAGCCUGCCUGUCCUUCGUCACUCACCUGUGACUCCUCCUCCAAGUGCCCGCCUUUCCCCUGAGCUCCCACCACCCAUGCGUAGCCGGACCUUCUCCCAGCUCACGUGAAAGUUCCUCGUUUGUGGUCCAGAGUCCAGGGAGCAAGUAUCAGCGAAGGUGUUCAGUCUUCCUGGAAACAGGUGAUGCCGGUUCCGAGUCCCUGUGGCUGGUCUCUUGUGCUCUCCACCCUGGGGGCCCCUUACCCGGAACGCUUGGGGCCACACCGCCCAGUGUGCAGGGCCGCCCAGCCUCCCUCCACUCACCCCCAGCAAGGCGGCCCUUCCUGGAGUGUCCAUGGCCUUCCCUCCAGAGCCCUGGACACUUGGUCUGCCUUCAAGGUUACUGCCACGGGAGUUUUAAAAGCGAGAUGUAAAAAAACACCCUACAUCCGGGCCACGGACUGGUAUGCAAAAGGGAAGGCAUCACAGCUUCACGGGGCACCUUGGACGGAGGCUGAGUGACCCAAGACGUCACCUCAAAGCUACAAACCCUGUGAUUCGGUUUAUGUAGCUUCCCCUAAAAGACACGGUGAUGGAUUUGGAGAACAGACAGGUGGGUGCCAGGGCUCAGGGACGGGGCGGGGGUGGGCGCACUCCGAGGGGGCAGCACGCGGGCACCUCGUGGGGACGGCAGCUCCGCCCCCCGGCUGUGGUGGCGGCUGCACAGGGGCGUACGUGUGCACGCACACGCACACGCAUGCACACAGACACACACGUACGUGCACACACACUCACGUCUACACACAAGCCCAUACUCAGGCCUGGAGACACACGCAC